GAUGAACGCUCGCUACAGGCUUAACACAUGCAAGUCGAGGGGAAACGACAUCGAAAGCUUGCUUUUGAUGGGCGUCGACCGGCGCACGGGUGAGUAACGCGUAUCCCACCUGCCCACCACUUGGGGAUAACCUUGCGAAAGUAAGACUAAUACCCAAUGACGUCUCUAGAAGACAUCUGAAAGAGAUUAAAGAUUUAUCGGUGAUGGAUGGGGAUGCGUCUGAUUAGCUUGUUGGCGGGGUAACGGCCCACCAAGGCGACGAUCAGUAGGGGUUCUGAGAGGAAGGUCCCCCACAUUGGAACUGAGACACGGUCCAAACUCCUACGGGAGGCAGCAGUGAGGAAUAUUGGUCAAUGGACGAGAGUCUGAACCAGCCAAGUAGCGUGCAGGAUGACGGCCCUAUGGGUUGUAAACUGCUUUUAUAAGGGAAUAAAGUGAGUCUCGUGAGACUUUUUGCAUGUACCUUAUGAAUAAGGACCGGCUAAUUCCGUG
RNAcentral lists this ribosomal RNA (492 nucleotides) under uncultured bacterium. Its description in RNAcentral is "partial 16S ribosomal RNA". It matches the Rfam family "Bacterial small subunit ribosomal RNA", at positions 28 to 507 of the family's 1533-position model. The record is from RNAcentral.